This is a long non-coding RNA of Polistes dominula (European paper wasp), 153 nucleotides long. Lineage: Eukaryota; Metazoa; Arthropoda; Insecta; Hymenoptera; Vespidae. The record is from RefSeq and is a predicted model, not a curated record.
UAUUUUGAAGAAGCAGAAGGCAUACUGUAUGGUGCAGGCAUCCCAGAAUAAGAUCACCCGUUCUCAAAUUUCGAUGCCCGCCAACAGCAUACCUACUUUUGAAGGGUUCACGUUUGUCAGCCAUUUUGAAUGUCAAAAAAUGUUAAAAACAAU